AAAUUGAAGAGUUUGAUCAUGGCUCAGAUUGAACGCUGGCGGCAGGCCUAACACAUGCAAGUCGAACGGUAACAGGAAGCAGCUUGCUGCUUCGCUGACGAGUGGCGGACGGGUGAGUAAUGUCUGGGAAACUGCCUGAUGGAGGGGGAUAACUACUGGAAA
RNAcentral lists this ribosomal RNA (162 nucleotides) under Escherichia coli. Its description in RNAcentral is "partial 16S ribosomal RNA". It matches the Rfam family "Bacterial small subunit ribosomal RNA", at positions 1 to 156 of the family's 1533-position model. The record is from RNAcentral. RNAcentral also lists the same sequence under 26 other names. Lineage: Bacteria; Pseudomonadati; Pseudomonadota; Gammaproteobacteria; Enterobacterales; Enterobacteriaceae.